This 551-nucleotide ribosomal RNA is filed under the name Hospesneotomae protracta (western bloodsucking conenose). RNAcentral describes it as "Triatoma protracta (western bloodsucking conenose) partial 16S ribosomal RNA". It matches the Rfam family "Bacterial large subunit ribosomal RNA", at positions 1797 to 2621 of the family's 2925-position model. The record is from RNAcentral. Lineage: Eukaryota; Metazoa; Arthropoda; Insecta; Hemiptera; Reduviidae.
CGCCUGUUUAUCAAAAACAUGUCUUUUUGUUUAUUUAUUUAAGGUCUGACCUGCCCAAUGAGGAAUUGAAUGGCCGCAGUAUUUUAACUGUGCUAAGGUAGCAUAAUCAUUUGUCUUUUAAUUGAGGGCUGGAAUGAAAGGUUGGACGAGAUAUUAACUUUCUUUAAUUUAAUUUUAAGAAUUUAAUUUUUUAGUUAAAAAGCUAAAAUUUAUUUGUUGGACGAGAAGACCCUAUAGAUCUUUAUAAUUUUAUGUUUUAAUAGUGUAGGGAAUAUUUUUUUAAAGCAAAAUAAUUAUUUUGUUGGGGUGACUGUAGAAUUUAAUUAACUUCUAUUUAUUGGAAUCAUUUAUUAAUGUUUUAUUGAUCCAUAUAUUUAUGAUUAAAAGAUUAAGUUACCUUAGGGAUAACAGCGUAAUUUUUUCGGAGAGUUCAUAUUGAUGAAGAAGUUUGCGACCUCGAUGUUGGAUUAAAAUAAGUUAUAGAUGCAGGAGUUUAUUUACUAGGUCUGUUCGACCUUUAAAUUUUUACAUGAUCUGAGUUCAAACCGGAG